RNAcentral lists this ribosomal RNA (735 nucleotides) under Saprolegnia sp. MB70. RNAcentral describes it as "eukaryotic LSU rRNA". The stretch from base 197 to 351 matches the Rfam family "5.8S ribosomal RNA". Lineage: Eukaryota; Oomycota; Saprolegniomycetes; Saprolegniales; Saprolegniaceae. The record is from RNAcentral.
UUCCGUAGGGUGAACCUGCGGAAGGAUCAUUACCACACCAAAAAACACCCACGUGAAUGUAUUCUUUAUUAGGCUUGCAUACCCUUCGGGGUGAGCUUGCCGAAGGUUUCGCAAGGGACCGAUGUACUUUUAAUCCCUUUUAUAAAAUAACUGAUCAAACAUUGCAGACAGAAAUGUGUGCAUUUAAUUGAAAUACAACUCUGACCAGUGGAUGUCUAGGCUCGCACAUCGAUGAAGAACGCUGCGAACUGCGAUACGUAAUGCGAAUUGCAGAAUUCAGUGAGUCAUCAAAAUUUUGAACGCAUAUUGCACUUCCGGGUUAGUCCUGGGAGUAUGCUUGUAUCAGUGUCCGUUAAUACAAACUUGUUUCAUUUAUUUGAAACAGAAUGUGGAGGUCUUGUUUCGACAAGUCCUUUUAAACGACACUACCUGUACGUCCUUGUGGGAUAUACAAUAUACAGGUUACUAUGAUUUCAAUUUCUAAAGUUCUGUUCAACUGUAACGGCUUGGAAGGAGGAAUAAAUUGCGGUAGUUUUGCUUGAGUUUCGGCUCGAGUGAACAUCAAUAUUGCUUUUUGUUUUUCUGGAAGAGUUGUGGCGGAAGUGUAGAAUGGGAGGUUGAAUAGUAGUGACUGGUGUAUUCCUUGGCGUAUGGAGGCAAAUUGGGAACUAUAUCCAAUUUGGACCUGAUAUCAAGCAAGACUACCCGCUGAACUUAAGCAUAUCAAUAAGCCGG